UUGACUUUUUGAUUGACUUUGAGUAAAUGUGUAAAGAUUCGAUCUUUAUCAAUUGAGUUUGCUUCCUACGCCAUUAUUUGAUGAUUUUGAGUUGCUUUUGGUUAGUUUCGAGCCGUUCAGAGGAUGAUUUGAGCGGGAUGACGCUUCUAGUGUAUCGACUUGGCUUGCUUGAGAUUCUGGAGCAGAGCUGCGGUAGAUGGCGGGGGCUGACUCUGAAGAUGUUCGUGCCUAAUGUGGCUACCACUUGUCCCUGGAUAGUUCUAGAGUUGAAUUCUAUAUAUGUACAUUUCAAAUAGAAUUUGUAUUUAUUUCAUAUCCGUUUUUACAAUAAUCCAGUCUUAGUAACUCAUGUCUUGUACUACCAGUCCUUGGGUUAUUGUUUGGAAUCCAGAUAUAUCGAUUGUUGAUUACAUUUA
Nicotiana tabacum (common tobacco) is the source of this 416-nucleotide non-coding RNA. NCBI's taxonomy places the organism in Eukaryota, Viridiplantae, Streptophyta, Magnoliopsida, Solanales, Solanaceae. The record is from RefSeq and is a predicted model, not a curated record.